GCCUGGCUGGCUCAGUUGGUGGAGCAUGUGACUCUUGAUCUUGGGGUUGUGGAUUCGAGCCCCAUGUUGAGUG
This 73-nucleotide transfer RNA is filed under the name Felis catus (domestic cat). It matches the Rfam family "tRNA". From Rfam's summary of the family: Transfer RNA (tRNA) molecules are approximately 80 nucleotides in length. Their secondary structure includes four short double-helical elements and three loops (D, anti-codon, and T loops). RNAcentral also lists the same sequence under 1 other name. Lineage: Eukaryota; Metazoa; Chordata; Mammalia; Carnivora; Felidae. The record is from Rfam by way of RNAcentral.